Molecule: long non-coding RNA, 2136 nt
Organism: Macaca mulatta (Rhesus monkey)
Lineage: Eukaryota; Metazoa; Chordata; Mammalia; Primates; Cercopithecidae
Source: Ensembl
UUGGGAUGCCUGCACGCUGGAGAGAGUUAGGUCUUUUGUGGCUCUGGUCCCAGUAGGAGAUGACAGACACAACCAGAGGGCAGGGUUCCAUGGUUCCACGGUUCCAUCUACUCUAGAGGGAAAGAGGACCUGAGACAAGCCAAAGAGAAAACUCUGGGUGCUCAGCCAACUCUUUGAGAAGGAAAGUGAGGAUGGAGGCUAAAGCCCCUUCCAUCCUUCCUGGUAACUCAGCGGAGACGUCAACACCCACGAUCUGCAACUCAAAGUCAAGGGAUUCCGAGUCCCUGCUUGUGUCAACACUGAAAACGCCCAUAGCAACGGAGGAGGGAUGCGGGGAGGGAAUCCACCACCGGUCCUCCGGCGACUCCCGUCCUGCGCGCAGCAGAGGCAGCGCCGCCCGUGAACACCCCGGAGCCCGGUGCACGCCGAGCCCCGCAGCAGUUCUCCGCACCUCCGGUAAAGGUCUCUGCAGCAGUCCGAAGGCUCCUUUCCCAACCCAGAAACGUCUGCAAUAAAUUGCUUCCAUGUGCUGGCUUCCCGCUUCCUCUUUGUCUCUCAGGGUUAAUGUAGGAAAAGGGAAGUGGCAUAUAUAUAUAUUUUUUAUUUUGAAAAUGACCUUUGGGGCAAAGUCCUGCCAAGUGUGUAGUUCAAUAGCUCAUUUUAUAGAUGAGGACACCGAGCUCCAGUGAAAUCAGAUUCCAGGUCACCCGCUGGUGUGCCGCCAAACCAGGUGGAGAACCCUGGUGCCUCCGCUCCUUGGGCAUUUUGACUCUAGCAUUCAUGUCUGUUUUCCCUUCUUUAAUACCCACUACUGCAAAAAUUUUGUUGCUAUUUCCCUCUGUUAAGAAUUAUUAAAACUAGGAGGAGGGGAAGCAAAAAGUUCUUUCAAUAUUAAAUUAAAGCAAUGUCUAACAAGCCCAUUUGAGAGUCAUUUGGCUAUCUAGGGGAAGGUAACUUUGACUUACUUUUUACUAUAAAAUAGAGUCCAAACAUUUUUAACUCUUAGUUAGGCCAGGAGCCCCGGCUCAGGCCUGUAACCCUAGUACUUUGGGAGGCCAAGACAGAAGGAUUGCUUAAGGCCAGGAGUUCAAGACUGGUGUCAGCAACAUAGCGAGAUUCCCAUAUCGAUUUUAAAAAAUAAACAAAAUAAAAUAACAUGAGAUAGUACUGUGUAGAAACUGUUAAAAUGUAAGUGCUGUCUGGGUAUGGUAGCUCACGCCUGUAAUCCCAGCACUUUGGGAGGCUGAGGUGGGCUUGAGCUCAAGAGUUUGAGACCUGCCUGGGCAACAUGGUGGUGUGUGCCUGUAGUCCCAGCUACUCUGGAGGCUGAGGUGGGAGGAUGGUUUGAGCCUAGGCGGUGGAGGUUGCAGUAAACCAAGAUCAUGCUACUGCACUCCAGCCUGGGGGACAGAGCCAGAUACUGUCUCAAAAAAAAAAAAAAAAAAAAAAGGUAAAUGUUUUUCUGUUCUGCAGAGAUGCAAAUGAUUCCUAUCUGGUCAGAUAAAUUACCCCAAAAGUUACAGUUUUGCUGCCCUGUAGCACGCACGUUAACCAGUUUUGUAUCUAACUUUGUGAUCUUUUUUUCUUUUUUUUUUUCUUUUUUUUUUUGAGACGGAGUCUCGCUCUGUCGCCCAGGCUGGAGUGCAGUGGCCGGAUCUCAGCUCACUGCAAGCUCCGCCUCCGGGGUUCACGCCAUUCUCCUGCCUCAGCCUCCCAAGUAGCUGGGACUACAGGCGCCCGCCACUGCGCCCGGCUAGUUUUUUGUAUUUUUUAGUAGAGACGGGGUUUCACCGCGUUAGCCAGGAUGGUCUCGAUCUCCUGACCUCGUGAUCCGCCCAUCUCGGCCUCCCAAAGUGCUGGGAUUACAGGCUUGCGUCAGCAUUCCUUUUCGUUCUCUGAGUUCACAGAAUCUUUAUUCUCGUAAUCUUUUUGAAUCAGUGUUGCCACCUUGCAAAGUCCCUUAUUAAUGAGUUACCUACCUCACUGAUACAUACUCACCACAUCUUGUCAAGGCUUCAUAUUCCUCUCCCUGUAUAGUCCCCACAAAUAUACACUAUCAGCUUUCAGUGCACACCAAGCGCCCUGUUGAUUCUCUGUCCCAAGUGGCUCCUCUGGAGCGUAUGCAUGACAUCAGGG